Long non-coding RNA from Homo sapiens (human), 2335 nucleotides. RefSeq lists it as uncharacterized. The record is from RefSeq and is a predicted model, not a curated record. NCBI's taxonomy places the organism in Eukaryota, Metazoa, Chordata, Mammalia, Primates, Hominidae. The transcript is spliced from 5 exons.
AGACAGACUCUUGCCCUGUCGCCCAGGCUAGUGGCGCGAUCUGGGCUCACUGCAACCUCCACCUCCCAGGUUCAAGCAAUUCUCCUGCCUCAGCCUCCUGAGUAGCUGGGAUUACAGGUGCAUGCCACCAUGCCCUGCUGAUUUUUGUAUUUUUAGUACCGACAGGGUUUCACCAUGUUGGUCAGGCUGGUCUCAAACUCUUGUUUUUGUUUUGCUUUGUUUUGUUUUGCUUUUGAGAUGGAGUCUCACUCUGUUGCUCAGGCUGGAGUGCAGUAGCAUGAUCUUGGCUCACUGCAACCUCCACCUCCUGGGUUCAAGCGAUUCUCCCACCUCAGCCUCCCAAGUGGCUGGGACUACAGGCAUGUGCCACCACGCCUAGCUAAUUUUUGUAUUUUUAGUAGAGACGGGGUUUCACCAUGUUGGCCGGGCUGGUCUUGAACUCCUGACCUCAGGUGAUCCACCUGCCUCGGCCUCCCAAAGUGCUGGGAUUAUAGGCAUGAGCCACCGUGCCCGGCCUCACAUACAGGUUUUGGGGACUUAACCUUAUUCUGUCUGUUCCUUCCACAUGUUUGCAGCUCAGAAGGCAGUGGUCUUGUCUAGGGUGCUCUCUAUGCAUCUUGCAGAAAGCAGUGUAUAAGCAGCUAUGUGGACACAGCACAUAAGAGCGCCCUGUGGUCCUAUCACUUCUAGCAAGUCUCUGCUUCCUCUAAACUUACAUACACAGGGACAUCCUGUUCCUACAGACCACAGUAGAUGAGGGCUGGACAGCCUGACAGACGCCGGGAGAAGUGAGUAGUUCUGACGCACCCGGCUUCCCUUCCCUUUCCAAACUCUUAGCUAUUUUUUUUCUUUAUUUUCCUUCCUGUGUUGAAAGAGCUAUGGGGCCUGGACCAUAGUAGGGUUUCCUGGGGACAUUCCAUAAAUUCUUCAUGGGUUAUUUCUCUGGAGAGGGGUGGGAGCAAGUAAGCUGGUAGAUGGGAGGCCAGCAGGGGCCUGGGUAUGAAUGUCAAGUACCUCAAAGCAGCGUGGGUGGGAAGGAAGGGUGAGCUGCACAGAGGAGGAAGGAGGGGUGUCAUGAGCUCAUAGAAACCGCCAAAGAAAGGCCAAGCAAAGAGUGAGAAGAAGCAGCCAAAUCACAGGUCAGAACAAGCUGUGGGUAACCACGCCCCCAGCUUUGCCCUUGAACCUGCUGACUGGUCUCCACAGUAACUUGUCCGUCAGGGUUUCAAUAAGGCCAGGAGAACUUGGCCAACUCAGGUGUGUGACUUGGAUAGAUGCCAAGCAGCCCCUAGUGUGUGCUGUGCACGAUGCAUGGAGAUAUGGGGAAAGUCAACUCAAGGUCCCUUUGUAUCUGGUUGGGUCCCUUUUCCUUUAUUCACUUCUCAUCCAUCCAUCCAUUCAGCAAACACUGAUUCCUUAAUUCACAUCUAGAUCUGAAGAGAGUGAAAGCACUGGCCCCUAGCUGACCUCUGUAGCAAGCCUGGACCUGAAGAUCAUUCUCAGUCUCCCUCCCUGGGCUCUAGAGCUACUUCUUUAAGUAAAAAUGGUGCCAAAUUGGGUGUCAAGGCAAGAAGCAACUUGUCCUAGAUCUCUAUGCUUGGGCAAGUCAAUUUUCUUCUCUGGACCUCAGUUUCCCUGUCAAAUAAUGAGAGUAUUGGGCCAGGCAAUCUCUAAGGUUCCUUAAAGAAUGGUUCUAUUUUUCAAAGCAGUUUUGAAGCCUAUCCCAUGAGUGAACACUCGGUGACAGGAUUAAAGGGGAAGAAGGGAACAGUCCAAAAAGCAUGACCCCUGCCUUUCACAGAACUUUCAAGAGAAUCAAGGAGACAGAAUGACACACAUGACCUGGAGCAGUGACUGAAGGCACUAGACAAGCUGGUACAAGCUGUUGGCUUCAGCCUGCUGCACAAGAGGCCUCCCAUGCUGCCAUCCCCAGACAGCCUGUGCCCUCCAGCUGGCAGAAGUACCCUGGGAGGCGCAAGGUCCAUGGUGGUGUGGGAGCAGAUGUGCCCCAGGGCAUGGACAGGAAGGUUGGAACCUGUGUCAUGGAGCAGGAGCAGAGCGAGACUCUGUGCGGUUAUGUGAAGCGAAGUGGCUAUACCUUGCCCCAGAGUGAAGAAGGAAGGGGGAAAUGUGGAGCCUGAGACAGACACUCACAGAGGCCAGGUGAUGUAAAGAGACAUCCACAUCCUCAUCUGACCAUCUACAAGCUCAGAAGAGAGGUCUGGAACAGCUCCUUCCCUCACAGCCAUCAGAAGGAAUCAACUCUGCCCACAUCCUCAUCUGGGACUUCCCAGUUUCUGAACUUGGAGAAAAUAAAUUUCUGUUAUUUAAGCCA